Molecule: long non-coding RNA, 458 nt
Organism: Schistocerca americana (American grasshopper)
Lineage: Eukaryota; Metazoa; Arthropoda; Insecta; Orthoptera; Acrididae
Exons: 3
Source: RefSeq, a predicted model, not a curated record
GCCGACAGAUCGUUGCGUGUGGACUGGGCUUAAUUUAUUAAUCAAAAUGUAGGACAACAGUUAGUGAGGAAGGUAGAUUUAUCACAGUGCUUUUGUGACAGUUGCAAGAUACCUGUAAAACUUUGAGUGCUUGUAUUUAACAUUUUUGAGAACAUGGAAACAUUUCAAGAGAAACUUAAAAGAGAAUCGAGUAAAAUAAUACAAUGGCAAGUGAAAAAGGACUUGCAGUUUAAGCAAAUGAAACAAAAAUUACAAGAACUUGAAGAAUUAGUAGAAAGACAAAGGAAAAGUCUAUUACAACAGCAAAUGAAUUGUGAAGAAGUGUCUCAGGAAUAUGCUAAUGAAGUGAAGCAUCAAGAGGAACUCAAAGAAAAAGUCCAGCACACCCGUAAAAUUUCUGGAAUACUGCAAGAAUAUUUUCAAAGUAUGAAUACCACUUUUGUGUCAUUUGAAAGAAC